CAACUUGAGAGUUUGAUCCUGGCUCAGAGCGAACGCUGGCGGCAGGCUUAACACAUGCAAGUCGAGCGGGCGUAGCAAUACGUCAGCGGCAGACGGGUGAGUAACGCGUGGGAACAUACCUUUUGGUUCGGAACAACACAGGGAAACUUGUGCUAAUACCGAAUAAGCCCUUACGGGGAAAGAUUUAUCGCCGAAAGAUCGGCCCGCGUCUGAUUAGCUAGUUGGUGAGGUAACGGCUCACCAAGGCGACGAUCAGUAGCUGGUCUGAGAGGAUGAUCAGCCACAUUGGGACUGAGACACGGCCCAAACUC
RNAcentral lists this ribosomal RNA (311 nucleotides) under Afipia felis (cat scratch disease bacillus). RNAcentral's name for it is "bacterial SSU rRNA". It matches the Rfam family "Bacterial small subunit ribosomal RNA", at positions 1 to 338 of the family's 1533-position model. The record is from RNAcentral. Lineage: Bacteria; Pseudomonadati; Pseudomonadota; Alphaproteobacteria; Hyphomicrobiales; Nitrobacteraceae.